This 281-nucleotide long non-coding RNA is filed under the name Musa acuminata (dwarf banana). Its description in RNAcentral is "long non-coding RNA (MACU_LNC005226)". The record is from RNAcentral. Lineage: Eukaryota; Viridiplantae; Streptophyta; Magnoliopsida; Zingiberales; Musaceae.
UUUUGCACAUAGAAAUCCGAUUGAACUCAUUUUUGUCCAAAGCGCAAAAUAAGGCAUUCAUAGCCUUUGCGUUUAAAGAAAAAUACUUCUUCUCCAAAUCCGACCAUUCGUUCAUCGGUUUAGAGGGAAGUUGAAAACCAUUUUCAACAAUAUUCCAUAAAUCCAAAUUCAUAGAAAUCAAGAAAACUCUCAUUCGAGUUUUUCAAUAAGUGUAGUCCAAUCCGUUAAACAACGGUGGACGAACAAUCGAUAAGCCCUCUUGAAAGCCAUGAAGAGCCAUU